RNAcentral lists this ribosomal RNA (398 nucleotides) under uncultured bacterium. Its description in RNAcentral is "partial 16S ribosomal RNA". It matches the Rfam family "Bacterial small subunit ribosomal RNA", at positions 523 to 918 of the family's 1533-position model. The record is from RNAcentral.
AUACGUAGGGUGCGAGCGUUGUCCGGAAUUACUGGGCGUAAAGAGCUCGUAGGUGGUUUGUCGCGUCGUCUGUGAAAUUCCGGGGCUUAACUCCGGGCGUGCAGGCGAUACGGGCAUAACUUGAGUACUGUAGGGGAGACUGGAAUUCCUGGUGUAGCGGUGAAAUGCGCAGAUAUCAGGAGGAACACCGGUGGCGAAGGCGGGUCUUUGGGCAGUAACUGACGCUGAGGAGCGAAAGCAUGGGUAGCGAACAGGAUUAGAUACCCUGGUAGUCCAUGCCGUAAACGGUGGGCGCUAGGUGUAGGGGUCUUCCACGACUUCUGUGCCGUAGCUAACGCAUUAAGCGCCCCGCCUGGGGAGUACGGCCGCAAGGCUAAAACUCAAAGGAAUUGACGGGG